UUGUGGGUGGUAGCUGGUAUGUUGGUGGAAACUCCAUGCUUCCAUGGAACCAGCUGUAGAGGAGUGGUGAUGCAAUGAGCAUCCUGGAAGUUUAGUUGUCAUUUGUCACCUUUUGGAUAAUGGAGUAGAUUUCUGAAGCUAUUUCUCCUUGUUUGGUGUUCUGCCUGCAAUUUGGACAAGUGGACUUCAGAUUAUGUCUUCGUAGACUGAAAGGCUUGGGACUACUUUGGUUUUCUGGGGGUCCACUUCAGACCCUAGUUGCCUUGGUUUUUCCCAUACCUGGAGAUGUCACCAGUGAAGCCUGGGAAACAGCAAAGAGGGCAGCCUGAUCGUUCAUCUGGAAACUUUGUUCCAGCAUAAGAAGCCUCUCACCCUAAACAUCACAGCUGGGAAUAUGCUGGACCACAACUAAAGCCAGCAUGGCACUGACUCUGACCAAAGGUGAGACCCAGUACUCAUCAAGGAUUAGCUUCCAGGGGUCCUAGCAAGGUGCAUCACAGUGUCAAGAAUGCACUGCAUUCAGAGAAGUUCAAACUAUGGAUUCCCACCAGAGAAGCCUGAAGUGCUCUGAAGGCUGCCAACAAAAUGUCAAGUGAGUCCACUGACAAAAAGGAAGAGAAACCUUGGAAAAACAUUAUUGCUUAUGUUCCAUCUGAAUCUGAGCAGCUGACCUGAGGAAGGAGGUGGCUCAUCCAAGCUGAGACAUGGUGUUUCAAGAGGUGAAACCACAGGGAAAGUUUGAAAUGAAAGUCAUAUGGGAAGAAAGGGAGAGAAGCAAGUUGGAAAUCUUUCUAGAUCACCAUCCCGUAUUGGUACCCAUGCCUCAGUUUAUUUCUGCUGGAGAAGGUGAUGCUAGAAGCUCAGGUUCUCUGUCCUCUCCAUGAUCCUGUGAGCUGUCUAAUAUCCCUCCAUAAAAGCCUGCUGUCUUAAACUAGCUAAAGGUGACUUUCUUGUUUGUAUCUAAGAACUUUCACCAAUACACAUCGCUUUCUCCCUCUCUCUCAACUUACUCUUCACUUCUUUAGGGUAAUGUAAAUUUAAAGUAAUCAGGUUUUCCUGAUUAUGGCACUUCACCCUAUUAUAGAGGCUCACAGCUCCAGAUGUUUCUCCUUUAUAGUGCUUAUUGUAAGUGCAGUUAUAUACUUAUUUAUAGGAUUAUUUAAUAAUCCUUUCUUUCCACUAGAGUGGAAAUUCAGUGAGGGCAAGAACCUGGUGCUGUAGGUGUCUCUGGUGCUUAGCACAGGGUAUGACUCACAGGAGGAACAGAGUUACAGUAGUUGCAGAACAUCUUUGGCAAUGAAUAGUUAAUGAAUAAGGACUUCAGGUUGCUCUAUGUUUCCAGGGUUCUUGUGGGUCUCAGGGCAUGGAAAUGGUCAGAGAUCUUGAGGAUGGUGUUACUGCUCUGGGAGAGUAGAUUGAUUUUCCCUUAUUUCUAAGUCUGUAUUUCCACAUAGUUUGCGCUCCUGCUGUUUUUUAGUCUCUCUCUGGCUUUUCAUAAAAAACACUCAUUUUAUUUUUGGAACAGUACUUGUAUAACCAGGGCUUUUCAGUUCCUAUCUGGUGUGUGUUUGGGGACUGAUUGUAGCUCAAAGUGCUAAAAAGGAAAAUGGCAUUUGUCACUGGGUUGUAGUACUGUACACUCUGCUUUCUUAAAAGCCACAUUUUACUCUUCAAGGCUGAUUAUUCCCUAGUGGUUUGGGUAGACGUUUGGCUCAGGGAUACAACCACAGUAUUCAGAAUGUGACAUCUGUGAUGGAAUCUGGGCUCUGCCUCUCACCACCUGUAUGACCUUGGACAGGAGACCUAAUAUUUCUGGAACUCAGUUGCUUCAUUAAAAUGAGGAUGAAGAUACUUUCAUGGUUGCUGGAAGGAUUAAAUAGAAAAUACUAGUGAAGUCCUGAUCCAAAGUAAAUACUCAGCAAAUCUUUGUAUAAUACAUCUCCAUGCCCUUUCUUUUUCCCCUCUUUCUCAAAAUAAUCUGAGGAGGCCACCCAUGGAGAAUUUUAUCUAGGCUCGACCCCAGAAUCUCUGAAUGAAUGAGUGAAUUAACUCAGUGAAUGAAGAAAGGAAGAUUUGAAUGAAUGAUAAUGUGAGCCAUACAAUUCAUUACUAAAGGAUGCUGGGACAGUAGUGGUGACAGUAAUUAUUUAGUGAGUGCCCAAAGGCUGGACUUUGUGGCAGGCAGUUUACAGAAAUUAUCUCAUGUAACUAUUGUAAGAGUCCUUUAAGAAAGUUACCAUAGUCACCAUUUUACAAAUGAGGAAACAAAACCUCAGUGAAAUUGUCACAUAACAGUGGUGCCAUGACUAGUAAGUGGUUUUACUAAGGUGUCAUGAAAAUAGAAGGCCACAGAUAUGUAUGUGUGUGCGUAGAUGUAUUUGUGGGUAUAUGUAUAUAUGUAUCACACUCAUACAUACAUGUGUAGUAUUUAUCUUAGUCUCCCCAAAAUAGUAGUCAUCCAGGACAUGAUUGUACAGUUAUUGAGUGACUAUAAAUGUUGGUGGUGAUUGGAAGAGUAAAGGCAGAUAAAGUGAAGGGUAGAACAGGAAUGGUAGCUUUGACAAGGUAGCCUUGGGAAGGGGAACACAAAGGCAAUUGACAGAGGGCUUUUGGGGCUACCUUCCUGUUCUUUAGAGAUGAGAGACCUGGGAGAGUUUUCUGAGCCUCUGAGUAAGGCAAGAAGGUUCACAGAUCCCAGGAUCCAAGGCUGCAGGGCUAGUAUCCAGCAAGGGCACUGAUGAAACCAUUGGGCACGUGUGUACAUCUUUGCAUGUAGUGAAUUAAGUGAUGUAUGUCAGCAUCCAGAGCUUUCCCUCUUAAGGGCUUCCAAGUAGCUUUAUAGUUGUAAUAACACUGGAAACACAUGGAAUAUUGACACCCAGUUUUUGAGUGACAUGAAGCAGACUGUCUUGAGUGGACAUAUAGAUUGAAAGCACCAGUUUAAGUUGGAUGGGGAUCCUGUAUGGCCCUGAACCCUGGUAUCACAUAGCCUUGGAUUAUUUGUCUUUCUGUGUUUUAUUUCCUCAUUCGUAGAUGGAGAUAUAAAUGUGUUUAUCUGAUACAAUUUUUGUGAGGUGAAGAUGAAAUAAUGUAUGUAAGGCACAGCACAAUUCCUGGCACCUAGUUAGUGCUUAAUAAAGUACAUAUAUUUAUAAUGAUUCCCAUGAAAAAUUUGUUACAGGGAAAAACAUUUGUAAGCCUUAGUCCAUUCAGCUUUAGGAUCACUAACAAGACACAGAGGCUCUUUGGAAGGUUUGUACCUUGGUUUAUUUUGCUAACAUAUUCUGGUCCUAGUUUAGUGGGACUGACCCAGAGUGAGCUUUAACCCAGGCUGUUAACACUCUGGACAACUAGUGAAGAGGAAGAGAGAAGGCAUUUCCCAGGGCUGCCAUGUGCCACUCGGGGUACUGGGCCUUGAGGACAGUGUGGAGUCCUUUGUCUUUGGCCAUUUCCCUUCCAUGCCUGAGCAUUGUGGGGUUGGAGACACCAGCCAUCUUCCAGCCUGUGGUGUCGACACUCAGGUGGUCAGCACCAGUCAUGGCUGCCAUCACACCUGUGCACCAGCAUCCUCUAGUCAGCUGCAGUGUCUGCAUACUUGGCCUCCAUAACUUUUCUCAGCUUUUGAAAUAGGCUGAUUGAACCUGAGAUCAGACCUUCCUGAGCAAGGUCAAGAGGGUACAAACGGGGAGGUAAGGCAUAUUAAAUGGGUAGUCAGAGUAGACAAGCCUUGAGGGAAAUGGAGCAGGUUCUUCAUCCUAGAAGUCAUAUUAAAUGGAUGCUUAAUUGUCUAAUUCAGGAUGGUUCUCCGGAAUGAGGUACUAACAAGGGGAAGAACCCUACAUCUUGGCUCCAGGUCCUUAUCUCAGACUUAAGGUCACAGUUCCUGAAGCAUGUUGGAGUGAAUGCUGGUCCCAAAAAUGUUUAAGGAGGUAAAGGGUUCCAUAGUCAAAUUGGUCUGAGAAACACUUGCCUAUUGCCUUAGAUGAUUUGCAGUAAACAUCCUGAAAAUUCCUAGAAUAAACAAAACCUGUUCAACCCAUUAUUUUCAAGAACAGAACUUUUCAGGGAGCCUUAAAAAAUCGCAUCAAUUGAAGAAUAUUCUAUGUGCUCCAUGCAGUGCACAUUAGGAAAAUCAGGCUCAAGGGCUUCUUGAACUGAAGCAGUCAGUGGGGAGUUAUUUCUUGUGUCUUCCCAGCCCUGUUCCUUCUUUCAGUGAAGGUUCUCUGUGUCUUCUUUGAGCAAUGCUCCUCCCCUCUCCCCUGCACCAUCUGUCUCCCAGAUAUUUGUUCUUGGUGGUGAGGAGAGAGGGAGGCUGUCAGACAUGGACCCUAGUCCCAUGCAUAGCCCCAGGGGCUGUACCUGACACAGGGAGGGCCAAAGCAGUGCUUAAUCAAGACUUUGAGCCAGUACCGAGGAGAAGAGCACUUCCCUUUCUGAAGUUAUAGCAGACAAAAUGUGAGCUUGAGAGCUGCCAUCUACUACAGAACCCACCUAGUAAUAAAAAUUGGUUAGAAAAAACCUGCCAAUAUGCAAAAAGGGCAGACAUGAGGGGCACCUAGUUAGGGCCUAAUAAAUGAUAUAGCAUAAAAU
RNAcentral lists this long non-coding RNA (4590 nucleotides) under Homo sapiens (human). Its description in RNAcentral is "HSALNT0314981". The record is from RNAcentral. Lineage: Eukaryota; Metazoa; Chordata; Mammalia; Primates; Hominidae.